RNAcentral lists this long non-coding RNA (985 nucleotides) under Daucus carota (carrot). RNAcentral describes it as "long non-coding RNA (DCAR_LNC001015)". The record is from RNAcentral. Lineage: Eukaryota; Viridiplantae; Streptophyta; Magnoliopsida; Apiales; Apiaceae.
CUGCUGUGUGUAAGGCGGUGUCCAUGACUUUAUCACCUUGCCUGAGAAAAGAUUGAAUAGAAGUAACUUGAUCAUUUGAAGGAGGCAACUGGCGAGCUGCAUCAACAAGGACCUCAGCCACUUCAGUGUGUCCGAAAUAUAUAGCACGGUGAAGUGCUGAAUGUUUAUAUCUAGUAAGCUUAGUCAAAAGAUUUUUGUGUGGAAAUUCCCUCAAAAUGAAUUUCACACGUUCUGUAUUUCCCUGCUGUGAUUGCAGGUGAAGGAUAGUUUCUUCAUCUUGGAACAGUCUAUCAGCUUCCAUCUCCAAUUCAGCAAUGGCAUCAGCAUCUCUGGCCAUGGCAGCAUGGAAGAGAGUAUCCAGCAGAUCCAUAACUAUAUUCUACUCUACCACUGCUCCUGCGUAAUGGAUAUAUAUCUCGGAUAAUACCACAAACUCGAUAGCAUCCAGGAGCUAGUUAUAUAAAUGGAAGCUUGGUAAGGAGAUGUUGACCAACCACAGUGCUACAUACGCUGUGCUGAUGUAAAUUAAUGGUUGUUGAGCUUGCUGGUAAUGAUAAUGAUGCAUUAUAAUUUUGAAAACUAAAAAGCUGUGAAAUAAUAUAUAUUAUUUAUAUCUUUCGUUGAAAUAAAUCAAUCAUAAGUUAAAUUGGCUCCCAGCUUUAAGUCCCGAAUAUAUUAUAGAACUAUUUUAGACCAUCUCUGUUUUGGUUGAGGAGAGUAUAACUAAUACAUGUAAACAAAGAGUCAAAUUACUUUGUAUCAGAAUACUUUUUAUCAUAUUAAGCACAAUUGUAUUUUUUUCGAACAUCAUUUUCUAAGCACUUUUAUUUCUUAAAGUGACAAAAGUUCGAUCACCAAACUGGACUUGUGCUGCCAUAAACAUUUUGAUCCAUUCUAAGAGUAAGGAUAACACAGAAACUAGCUUAUAGGAAGCUAUUUCAUUUGGCGUAAGCUUGUUUUAACACAACACAAAUUUUCUUUAUUU